Molecule: ribosomal RNA, 83 nt
Filed under: Colophospermum mopane (mopane)
Lineage: Eukaryota; Viridiplantae; Streptophyta; Magnoliopsida; Fabales; Fabaceae
Description: partial 26S ribosomal RNA
Rfam family: Eukaryotic large subunit ribosomal RNA
Source: RNAcentral
GAGACCUCAGCUCAGGCGGGGCUACCCGCUGAGUUUAAGCAUAUCAAUAAGCGGAGGAAAAGAAACUAACAAGGAUUCCCCUA